RNA transcript from Homo sapiens (human), 2122 nucleotides. It is a transcript of the gene named eukaryotic translation initiation factor 3 subunit J pseudogene, with no coding region annotated. The transcript has a single exon. The record is from RefSeq and is marked validated. Lineage: Eukaryota; Metazoa; Chordata; Mammalia; Primates; Hominidae.
GUCGCUCCCAUGUGCCCCUGCCGGGAAAUGGCGGCGGCUGUGCCGGUGCUCCCAGUACGCCUCAGGAAUUCCGUGAAGCACCGCUGUGCGGGAGGUGGGGGCCGGCAAUACCACAAUACCACUGGCGGGGACAACUGAGAAGGCAAUGACCAGGAUAUCAAGGAUAACUGGGGCGACAGUGAUGAUGUGAAAAGAAAGAAAGAGAAGUAAAACUAGAAGUAAAGGUUUCAGAAAAGAUAGAUCGAUAAAUAAUCGAUCGAUAGAUAGAUAAUAGAUAGAUGAUAGGCAGGUAGAUAAAUAGAUAAUAUUAUAUACAUGUAUAUGUAUAUGACUCGAGAAAGCCAAAGAGAAAUUACAGCAACUGGAAAAAAAAAACAUUAAAUUAAAAAGAUGUUAGGAGAACAUAAAGUGCUAACACCAAAGAACAAUUAGCAAACUCGACCGGGACUAAACUAAAGAAAUUCCAGGAAGAGUCAGACUUCAAACCAGCCAAAAAGACGUUUGGUGUUAAUACAGUUUAUGGAGCCAAGGCUCUGAACCCACUUUGGAGAGAUGGCUUCCUGGAUUUUGAAAAGUUACUAAAAAAUAAAAUUACACAAUAUGAAAAGUCACUGUAUUAUGCAAGUUUGGGGUAUCCUUAGAUGGAGAUGUGUGCCUUUUUUUAGAAGUUGAUGACUUGAAAAAGAUUACUGAUGCUCUGCAGUGACAAAAAGAAGCAAGAGAAGCAAAAACAGAAAAGUGUGGUUCCUGGAGGGGGAUUAAAGGAUUAAAGGCCACCGUUAAAGACGAGACCUCAUGUAACAUUUUAAUCUUCUCCUGGUGUCUUUUGGUUGCUCAGUCCUAUGGAUUGAAUAUUUGUUUUCCUCCAAAACUCAUACGUUAAAAUCCUAACCACAGUGUGAUGAUAUUAGGAGAUGGGGGCUUUGGGCCUUAACAGGUGAGAUGAGGGUGGAACCCCCAUGAUGGGAUUAGUAUCCUUACAAGAAGAGAAAGAGACUAGAGCUCUCUCCUUCUCCCCACAAAGUAAGGAUACAGAAAGAAAGUGGCCAUCUACAAGCCAGGAAAAAGGAGCUCUCACCAGACACUGAACCUGUCAGCAACUUGAUCUUAGUGUUCCCAGCCUCCAAGACUGUGAGAAAUAAAUGCCUGUUGUUACAGGCAUCCAGUCUAUGAUAUUUUGUUACUGAAACUCUGGUUCACUAAGACACUCACAAUCCCUUUGAACAUGUAGCACAACUUCCUUUCCCUUCAUUUCUGCCAAAUGCUGCAAUUAGAAGUGCAGUAUCUUUGUGCUUGCUAUUUAAUGUCUUGACAAUUAGGAGCUAAUGUAAGAAAGAGGAAAUUGGGUUUUGUUGCCAAGAGGUUAAAAUUUGGAAGUUCAAUUGCUACUAAAUCAUAGCGGUUUUUGUAAAUCCUAAUAAUGCUAUAAUCCUUAGUAUCUUAUUCCAAAAAGGCAGUGUCACUAAAUUGGAAACAAACUACGGCCAAAAUUGUAUUUACCAGCACCAUCCAGUAAUGUAGCCUGAACAAUACCUCCUUGAACUACUUCUUGUCAAGAAAAGCAGUUUGUAAAAAGGACAUGUGGUCUUCACCUACUUUAAAGUUACUUUGUCUAAAAAUUGAGUUGGAGGAUUCAAAACAUAGAUUUUGAAGAAGAGUGCUUAUUUUUGAGUGAAGUUACUGCUGCUGAAAAGCCACCAAUUUGAUACUUAAAUGAUUUAAAAGAAAAAAAAACUUUCAAACUUUGAAGCCCAAGAAAGUAAAUCAUUAUUGUAUUAUAAGCUGUGGAAUGUCUUGAGUGUCUAAUGCCUUAACUGUCUAGUUUAUAUUAAUCAGAAUAUUUCUACUGGUGGACCACUUCAGACAGAGGAGAGAGACUCUAUCUCUUUUAUUUGCCUAAUUUAAGUGUCUGAGAAACAGAAUCUCCUUUGUUCUGCUGGACUGUAAUGGAAGAACUUCAUCUGGGUUUUGGUAUUUUCCUUCCCUUAUAACAUGUGCUCAGCUAACUAUACUAUUAAUAGUUAGCAACAGUUUGCUGAAUUUUUAUGUUAACAGUUAUGAUAUUACAUUUUGUAAGGCAACUAACUGAAUAAAAUCAAUAAAAAGAAUACUUUGUUAACAA